CGCGUAGGUGGUUGUGUAAGUCAGAUGUGAAAUCCCCCGGCUCAACUGGGGAACUGCAUUUGAUACUGCAUGACUCGAGUGCAGCAGAGGGAAACGGAAUUCCUGGUGUAGAGGUGAAAUUCGUAGAUAUCAGGAGGAACACCGGUGGCGAAGGCGGUUUCCUGGGCUGACACUGACACUGAGGCGCGAAAGCGUGGGUAGCAAACAGGAUUAGAUACCCUGGUAGUCCACGCUGUAAACGGUGAAUACUGGGUGUGGGAGGUGUAAUGCCUUCUGUGCCGAAGCUAACGCGUUAAGUAUUCCGCCUGGGGAGUACGGCCGCAAGGUUGAA
Molecule: ribosomal RNA, 331 nt
Filed under: uncultured bacterium
Lineage: Bacteria
Description: bacterial SSU rRNA
Rfam family: Bacterial small subunit ribosomal RNA
Source: RNAcentral